AGUUUCACAGUUCCUUUUUCUGAUGAUGCUUUGUGUAUUUCUUACAGUUGCCUUUGCAGGGAGUGCGUGUGGUGACUUAGUGCCCAAGCAGUUCCUAAAAGGAAUUCAGUCACUGUUGUCAGGAUUCUCUGGGAAGCUGACUUGGCCUUCAGAGGAAGCUCACUGUGCCCAGGACCUGGCAGGAUUGGCAUCCUUUCAGAUAAAAAUUGAGGCAAGUUUGGGAAGUACUUCUAUAAACUCUUGUGUUUACUUUUUUAAAAAAAAGUACAGUAGUAGAUGUAAUUAUAAUGACCAGUCUUUACCCUUGAGAAGAGAUGAAGAAUUCUCUCCUUUUUUUCCACUUAGCAGCUACAUUUAACACUGCUGCCCAUUCUCUUCUCUCUGGGUCUUCAUGACCCUAAUGUCUCCUGGUCCUCCUCAUUUUCGUCUUCUGGCCUGUUGUUUGUAUCACUCCCCCUAACUGUGAGUGUUCUUCCUCAGGGCUCUGUCCUAGCCCUCUUCUCUCUUUCUCUCUCAAGGGUUCUUCACCUGGGGUAUGGGAACUUGUUUUUUAAAAGAUAUUUUGUUAACUGUAUUUCAAUAUAAUUGGCUUUCCUUGUAAUCCUAUAUGUUUUAUUUUAUGCAUGUUAAAACCUUACUUUGAGAAAGGGUCCAUGGUUUCCUGCUUCUUGACACACAAAAGACUCUGUUGCUGAUCUUCCCUCUGUCUCUUGCAGUGGCUUUCACGGAUUUCACUGUCCCAUCUCUAAAGAUGAUUCUUAGGUCUGCCUUUCUAGCCCUCAUCUUUCCCUUGAGCUGGAGCUCAGCAGUUGUCUACUGGACGUUUCAGACUGGAUGUCCCCGAGACAUCUCAAACUCAACUUGUGCUAGACCUAAAAACCCGUCUUCCAACUGCCCUGUGGAAGGUACAGCCGUUUCCAUAAUUCCCCCCUGGUUGCACCCUCAGUGUUGGCCUCCAUGCCUCCUUCUCCUUUACUGGACACAUCCGAUCACUUGCCAAAUCUUGUCCUUUCUACCUUCAUGACAUUUCUCGCAUUCCCACCCCUAAAGAGUGGAUGCUGUUGGUACUCUCAGGAUUCUGUCAUGUAAGGAAGGGGCUCCACUGCUGUGCUCCCCACUUAUAAUGAACUCAUUGAAUACCUUUUAGAAAACACACUUACUGAGAAAGUAAAGCAAAAGCAGUUUGGUGCAAACGUUCUCCUCAACCUGGGAGUGUGCUCUUCCCCACCCACACAAAUUCCCUGGGGAAAGAGGGCACCAGCUGAAAGUACAGUUGUGGUGAGAUGCAUGGGUCGGCAAUCCGUGUCAAACGGGUGUCUCUGAGCUCCUCCCUUUGAGGAGGGGCUCUCUCCUUAGAU
Molecule: long non-coding RNA, 1358 nt
Filed under: Phascolarctos cinereus (koala)
Lineage: Eukaryota; Metazoa; Chordata; Mammalia; Diprotodontia; Phascolarctidae
Description: lncRNA (ENSPCIG00000037258.1)
Source: RNAcentral